This 74-nucleotide transfer RNA is filed under the name Denitrobacterium detoxificans. RNAcentral's name for it is "tRNA-Gly". It matches the Rfam family "tRNA". Rfam says of the family: Transfer RNA (tRNA) molecules are approximately 80 nucleotides in length. The record is from RNAcentral. RNAcentral also lists the same sequence under 6 other names. Lineage: Bacteria; Bacillati; Actinomycetota; Coriobacteriia; Eggerthellales; Eggerthellaceae.
GCGGGUGUGGUUCAAUGGUAGAACUUCAGCCUUCCAAGCUGAUAACGCGGGUUCGAUUCCCGUCACCCGCUCCA